This 400-nucleotide ribosomal RNA is filed under the name uncultured bacterium. RNAcentral's name for it is "bacterial SSU rRNA". It matches the Rfam family "Bacterial small subunit ribosomal RNA", at positions 975 to 1375 of the family's 1533-position model. The record is from RNAcentral.
CAGCCCUUGACAUGGCAGGACGGUUUCCAGAGAUGGAUUCCUUCACUUCGGUGACUUGCACACAGGUGCUGCAUGGCUGUCGUCAGCUCGUGUCGUGAGAUGUUGGGUUAAGUCCCGCAACGAGCGCAACCCUCGCCUUUAGUUGCCAUCAUUUAGUUGGGCACUCUAGAGGGACUGCCGGUGAUAAGCCGGAGGAAGGUGGGGAUGACGUCAAGUCUUCAUGGCCCUUACGGGCUGGGCUACACACGUGCUACAAUGGCGGUGACAGAGGGCAGCUAGACCGCGAGGUCAUGCUAAUCCCUAAAAGCCGUCUCAGUUCGGAUUGCACUCUGCAGCUCGAGUGCAUGAAGUUGGAAUCGCUAGUAAUCGUAGAUCAGCACGCUACGGUGAAUACGUUCCC